UUUCCGUAGGUGAACCUGCGGAAGGAUCAUUAUUGUAUAACCGAGGUGCGAGGGCAGUCUCUUACCCGAAAGGUCGUGCACGCCCGAGUGCCCUCACACACAUCUAUCUCACCCCUACGUGCACCACCGCGUGGGUCCCCCUUUGGCUUGUUCGGAGGGGGGCUUACGUUUUCACACAAACUUUGUAUGCAGUGUAGAAUGUAUUUUUUGUUUUUGCGAUCACGCAAUCAAUACAACUUUCAACAAUGGAUCUCUUGGCUCUC
This 263-nucleotide unclassified non-coding RNA is filed under the name plant metagenome. RNAcentral describes it as "partial contains small subunit ribosomal RNA, internal transcribed spacer 1, and 5.8S ribosomal RNA". The record is from RNAcentral.